Mastomys coucha (southern multimammate mouse) is the source of this 797-nucleotide long non-coding RNA. RefSeq lists it as uncharacterized. The transcript is spliced from 2 exons. Lineage: Eukaryota; Metazoa; Chordata; Mammalia; Rodentia; Muridae. The record is from RefSeq and is a predicted model, not a curated record.
CCCUCGAGGACAGUGCCACUUGGGCUCUUGGGGUUGGCUUGACAGGGGUGCAGAGAGAACAGGGGGCGGGGCGGGGGGGGAAUCCGUGAAGGCAGUGGGCGGGGAGCAGUGCAGAAGCAAAGCCGAGAUUGACCUCUGUCCAGGGAGAAGGCUGGAUUUUCAAAGCCCGAGGCAGGGACGACGCAAGCCCUCUGACUACCCUGAGAUGGGGGAGGUUGCAGAGGGUGUGGCCUGGACAGGAUCUAUUCCCACACCUGAAAUGUAAACACGUGACCACCCCGAAGACGUGGUGUUACCCAAGCACUUGGGAAGCUGAGCUGGAGCAUCUAUCUCUGCAAGGGCAACAGCAACCUCGACUACAGAGUCGGGACCUGUGUGUUUACUCGAGUAAUUGACUAAAAGCUGUCCGGAAAUGGUCCUCUCCGUACCACAUCAACAGCCUUCCAAUUGUACCGUGUUUAGUUAUCCUAAGGCUUCGGAUUGUGACAGUGUUGCAAUUCUGCCCCAGGAGUGCACGUCACAGGAUUAAUUGAGGAUAGACCUUAAGGCUGUGCUAUCUUGAGCUACUCAGACUAUGCCUGGUUUUCCCAGCUUCUUUCUCCGGUGGAAGGCACUAGCAGGGACCGAGGAGCAGGCCUACCUUCUGCCUGUGCUGUGGGUGGAGAACUGUUUGUCUUCCUUACGCUAAGCAGGCAGAUAAUUCUGGAUUCAGAUAAGGAAAUGUAAGUCUCCCAAAUCAGGACCAGCUCUGCUUGCUUUCUCUGCCCCUUUGUGGAAAAAAAAAAAAAAAAAAAAAA